This 492-nucleotide ribosomal RNA is filed under the name uncultured bacterium. RNAcentral describes it as "partial 16S ribosomal RNA". It matches the Rfam family "Bacterial small subunit ribosomal RNA", at positions 29 to 507 of the family's 1533-position model. The record is from RNAcentral.
AGUGAACGCUGGCGGUAUGCCUAACACAUGCAAGUCGAACGGCAACACAGUAAGAGCUUGCUCUUACGGGUGGCGAGUGGCGGACGGGUGAGGAAUACAUCGGAAUCUACUUUUUCGUGGGGGAUUACGUAGGGAAACUUACGCUAAUACCGAAUAUGAUCUACGGGUGAAAGCAGGGGAUCUUCGGACCUUUCGCGAUUGAAUGAGCCGAUGUCGGAUUAGCUAGUUGGCGGGGUAAAGGCACACCAAGGCAACGAUCCGUAGCUGGUCUGAGAGGAUGAUCAGCCACACUGGAACUGAGACACGGUCCAGACUCCUACGGGAGGCAGCAGUGGGGAAUAUUGGACAAUGGGCGAAAGCCUGAUCCAGCAAUACCGCGUGGGUGAAGAAGGCCUUCGGGUUGUAAAGCCCUUUUAUUGGGAAAGAAAAGCAGCAGAUUAAUACCCCGCUGUUCUGACGGUACCUAAAGAAUAAGCAACGGCUAACUUCGUG